RNAcentral lists this ribosomal RNA (248 nucleotides) under Escherichia coli. RNAcentral's name for it is "partial 23S ribosomal RNA". It matches the Rfam family "Bacterial large subunit ribosomal RNA", at positions 2134 to 2381 of the family's 2925-position model. The record is from RNAcentral. Lineage: Bacteria; Pseudomonadati; Pseudomonadota; Gammaproteobacteria; Enterobacterales; Enterobacteriaceae.
AUGUGUAGGAUAGGUGGGUGGCUUUGAAGUGAGGACGCCAGUCUGCAUAGAGACGGCCUUGAUAUAACACCCUUUAAUGCUUGAUGUUCUAACGUGGGCCCCUUACCGGGGAUGCGGACAGUGGCUGCUGCGUAGUUUGCUCGGGGCGGCCCCCUCCUCUAGACAAACGGAGGAGCGCUAUGGUUGGCUAUUUCCGGUCGGCCUUCACGAGGCUAUAGCAAUGUCUUAUGCUGCCUUACUUGCAGCGC